GCCUAAUACAUGCAAGUCGAGCGAAUUGAUGGGAGCUUGCUCCCUGAUAUUAGCGGCGGACGGGUGAGUAACACGUGGGUAACCUGCCUGUAAGAUUGGGAUAACUCCGGGAAACCGGAGCUAAUACCGGAUAACAUGUUGAACCGCAUGGUUCAACAUUGAAAGAUGGCUUUUGCUAUCACUUACAGAUGGACCCGCGGCGCAUUAGCUAGUUGGUGAGGUAACGGCUCACCAAGGCGACGAUGCGUAGCCGACCUGAGAGGGUGAUCGGCCACACUGGGACUGAGACACGGCCCGAACUCCUACGGGAGGCAGCAGUGGGGAAUAUUGGACAAUGGGGGCAACCCUGAUCCAGCCAUGCCGCGUGUGUGAAGAAGGCUUUCGGGUUGUAAAGCACUUUCAGUGAGGAGGAAAAGUUAGUCAUUAAUACUGGCUAGCCUUGACGUUACUCACAGAAGAAGCACCGGCUAACUCCGUGCCAGCAGCCGCGGUAAUACGGAGGGUGCAAGCGUUAAUCGGAAUUACUGGGCGUAAAGCGCGCGUAGGUGGUUUGAUAAGCGAGAUGUGAAAGCCCCGGGCUUAACCUGGGAACGGCAUUUCGAACUGUCAGGCUAGAGUAUGGUAGAGGGUAGUGGAAUUUCCUGUGUAGCGGUGAAAUGC
This 660-nucleotide ribosomal RNA is filed under the name uncultured Marinobacter sp. Its description in RNAcentral is "bacterial SSU rRNA". It matches the Rfam family "Bacterial small subunit ribosomal RNA", at positions 46 to 689 of the family's 1533-position model. Lineage: Bacteria; Pseudomonadati; Pseudomonadota; Gammaproteobacteria; Pseudomonadales; Marinobacteraceae. The record is from RNAcentral.